GCGUGGAUGAAGAAGGCCUUAGGGUUGUAAAAUCCUUUCACCGCUGACGAUAAUGACGGUAAGCGGAGAAGAAGCCCCGGCUAAUUUCGUGCCAGCAGCCGCGGUAAUACGAAAGGGGCUAGCGUUGUUCGGAAUUACUGGGCGUAAAGCGCACGUAGGCGGCCUUGUAAGAUGGGGGUGAAAUCCCCGGGCUCAACCCGGGAACUGCCCUCAUGACUGCAAAGCUAGAGGACGCGAGAGGUUAGCGGAAUUCCGAGUGUAGAGGUGAAAUUCGU
Molecule: ribosomal RNA, 275 nt
Filed under: uncultured bacterium
Lineage: Bacteria
Description: partial 16S ribosomal RNA
Rfam family: Bacterial small subunit ribosomal RNA
Source: RNAcentral